Molecule: non-coding RNA, 35333 nt
Organism: Podarcis lilfordi (Lilford's wall lizard)
Lineage: Eukaryota; Metazoa; Chordata; Lepidosauria; Squamata; Lacertidae
Source: the annotation of a GenBank genome assembly
GAGAAAUGAAAGGAAUGUAUCUAUAGACGACAAGAAUGGAAUCGCCGCUAAUUCUGUAGGUGCAUUUCCCCCCAGGAAAUUCCAUUAGGUCACCACAGGAAUCCAAAUAAGUGGGAGAUGGGAGAAUUUUGAUUUACCUUGGUCCUUGAAGAAAAGGCCACCCAGAUGAUGUAAAGAAAAUAAGGUAAGGCAAAAGAAAACAACUCAGAACAGAAUCAAGUGCCAACGUGGUCCUAUCAGUAAGGCCUUUAGCCAUCUGUCAUUGCCAUUUCUACAGAACUAGAAGCAGGGGCGUAGGAAGGGAGGGAGGGCAGAACGCCCCGGGUGGCCUCCAUGAGGGGGGUGACUUUUGGCGCACCGCCCACCUGCGACUCCCAAGCCUACCCCGAGCCGAAGGGGUAAGGGGGGGAGCUGUGCCGCUUUGCCGGCAGCAUUCCCCCCUUCCCCCUUCGUUUUGACAGCUUGGGGGAGGCUUGGGAGUUGCGGGCAGGUGGCGCACCGAAUGUCCGCCAUGGGCAGCUCACUCUGCCCCCGGAUAGAGGGUGAACGCACCGCUCCGGGCACCCAAGCGGCUAUCCUGCGCCUGGGAGGGCGCCCUACGCACCAUGCCCCCCUCGGGAGCGUGCCCGCCCUGGGCAGCGCGGGCAUAUGCUCUGCUGCUGACUAGAGGGAUAAUUCCAUCUCAUAGGGGUGUUUUGAUAUGCCACCAUUAUGUAAGCCAGGGGUGAAGAGCCUCAGGCAUGAAGGUCAAAUGCUGUGCUCCAGGAUUCUCUGCAACUCUCCCCAAGACACAUACUUCACGGUCCCUGGUUUGCACUCCAAAUGCUUUUGCCUGGCUGGAAUACAUCCUUGAAUGUUGACCAUGCUACUUGCUUGUGUGGAUGAAGAACAGAGAGGGGCUUGUGCAUGUUUGUAGAAACUAUGCAGAAGUAAAAUAUGCAUUCAUUGCUCCGCCCACACUUGCCUCUGACCCCGCCCACAACUGGUAUUUGGCCCUCAGAAGCCUCCCCAGAAGGGAAUGUGGCUCUCAGGCUGGAAAAAGUUCCCAAUCCCUGAAGCAAAUUCAGCGAAAUGGUUAUUUAAUUUUAAAACAUUAAAUUUAUUUCUAAACUGCUUAGAGUCUAGUUAAAUGGAAUAUUUCUAUGUAAACCGCUUAGAAACUAUGGUAGUUAAGUGGUAUAUGAAUUGUUCAUAUAGUAAAGAAAAUAAAAAUAUAAAAAUCUGUCCAAUUAUUGAGGUUUAGGGAACACCAAAUAAACACUUUUGGAAAGCCGAAUCUGGCCUGCAAGACACAGAUUUGCCACCCCUGGUGUAAUGAGACUGAAUGCAGCAUCUUUAGCGAGUAUCACAUGCCUCUCCCUGCUCUUUGAGAUGAGCUGGGGAUGCUUUGCUCUGGGUGCCUUUGACUUCUAAGGUAAGAUCUAUGAUUAGCUAGAGCAGAGCUUUUUCAGCAAUGGUACCGCAACCUUGGAAUAGUGCCCAGAGGUCUGCAAAGCACAAUUGCUACUUAGAUUUCAAUUCCCAGUGAAGACAUUUCAGUUCUCCAAAUCAGUUUAGAUGCUGCUUUUGGAGUGCUGCUUUUGCCAUUUAUUUCAUGAUCUAUUUUAGAAGAAGCCCUCCAACAUUUAAAUAUGUCUUAAUUUGAUGUUUUCUAUUGGAAACUUUUAGAAUAUUACGUAUGGUGACUAGGGAUUUAACCAAUUUGGGGGGAAACAGGACAGAGAAUGAGAUGUGAAUCUGUCUUUUGUCACAGAUACAUGGAAUAUAAUUACAAAUAGAUAAAAAGAAGUAGUCCGAGCUAUAUAUCUAAGACUAUGGGGAGGGGAAGUUUAAAGACUGAGCUGUCAAUCAAUGCAUGGAAAUAUGCAAGGGUAUAGACAAAUUUGUACACUCUGUAUCUGGCAUUAAGAGAAAACUUACAAACUGAUAGCACAAAGAUACGUGACUGUUUUACCAUGAUAAUACAGCAAUGUAGUGAAAAUAUGUUGGAUAGGGGGGAAAUAAAUUUCCUACAAUGUUGAUGCACUUGUAAAAAAAGUUCUGAGAGUUAAUUUGACAGUUUGUUUGUUUCUUGACAUAUUUGAAAGGAGCAACUCUAAGGAAGAAAGAAAUAUUACUGUUUCACACAUGAAUAGUUGCUAGAUUGCUUUAAAGUAAUAUGAUCCAGCAAGAACACACUGAGAAUCUUUUUAGAUGAUUACUUCAAUGUUUUUCUGCAUUAUCAUCAUAUAUUAGUGGAAAAUUAAAGGCUAAAUUCUACAGAUUUUUCAUCCUUUCUUAUGUACUGCUCUGAGUGUUUUUAAGGGAAAGUCAGUUAAUAAAUCUUAAGUAUCAGCCCAGAAAACAGUCUGAAGGUACAGGAUGUGGUUACCUUGCUGAAGCUAAGGAUGCCUGAAUUCUGGUUGGUGCCUAGAUGAGAGGUACCCAAAAUAUGCCCUCUUGUGCUCCUGAGAUGAAAGGUAAGGUGCAAAUGCAAUCAGUGAUACUGUCAGGACAAGACCUUGAGACAGUGGCCUAAGCAGAAUGAGUGGGAAAGCCCCCGAAAUGCAGCAGGGUUAGCUUACCCCAGUUUGAAGUUAAGUGAAAUCUACACAUUAUCAUCUAAAGAGGAGACUACAGACCUGCGGUUCCCAGAAUUCCCUGGGAAGAAGGAGAGUUUGUUAACCCACUCUGAGAAUGGUAGCUCUGUAGAUUAAAUAGCAGUCUCCUAAUGACACACAGCAUCUUUAAAUACUAUUCCCCGAAUUCUUUGGGGGAAGCCAUGACUGUUAAAGUGGCAUAACAGUGCUUUAAAUGUAAUGUGUGAAUGCGGCCCAAGCUGAGGAUUCUGUUCGAAAUGCAUUCAACUCAUAAAAUGAAAUUAUACACUCAGAUGCCUUUCCUUUUGUAUUAUAACAAACAACACAAGCAGGAAUUUACUAAUUAAGGUUAUGACGUAAUAUGUCCAAUAGCAAGUAAAACUCCAGCAGAGAAGAGCAACAGGUUCUUUUUCUGACUUCAACAUUGUAAAUCCUCCAGCUGCUAAACUGAGUUAUUACACUUUUCUGUUCCAUAAAGAAUGUUGCUUUGGAAACAGAACUGUUGAUCUUAAAAAGUUCCUGUUUAAAUGCAGAUCUGCACUAAAGCUCUGGGGCUCUUUAUAUCUCUAAGACUGGUCUGGCUCCUACCAAGCCAGACUGAAACCUUCCAUAUCUAAAAGGUCCAGCAUGGUGCUUAUUGUGAAACAGUAGCAGCUCAAGGAGUGAUUUGCUUGAAGAAAAAUAGGCUUCUGCUUUUAAGUAGUGAUCAAGGGGGGAGGGAACACAGCUACAAGACAUUUGCAGAGGCACAGGAGCGGCACAUGGCUGCUGAGUAUCUAGCAUGCAAGCAUUCAGCAGCCUAUGCUGAAUACUGCCUGAUACUCAGUGGCAGAAGCCUAUUAACCUCCAGGAAAUCGCCUCACAAGUCACUGCAGGCUGCAGCAAAACGUCUAAGAACUUACUCAAUUUUCUGCACUUCCUUUAAUUUAACCAACAUCAUCAAAAUCAUGCGGUUUUCCAAAGGAAGGAUGAUGCUACCAAAUGCCCAAAGAAUCCUAUGUGCUUCAUGUGCCGUAUGUACAAUUACCACGGCCUUGUUAUUCAGCAUAAAAUGUACACAAUGGAAAACAAUACCCAAAACAGAUGAUUGUUCAUUUCCACAAGGAACAGUUUUUCAUCAUCCGUCAUGGAUUAAACAUUGAAGUAUACAGCAUUUCCUUCCAAACCAAUGAGCCAUGUUAAUUUGGAAAACAUGUUCAAAAGCUCAAAAGACUGAGGCAGUUAUCUAGUUACUUCCUCUGUAUUUUCAGAAAUGGUUGAUAACAAUGUAGGGGAAAAUGAUAAUGCACAUUUACUGGAUACACCAAAAUGAACGUUUAAGAAGUAAGUGAAACAAAUGUUUCUGCGACUUAGUACAUGCUAUCACAUUGGGCAUGACCUGGUUUACAAGAUUCAGGGAUACCUGGGGAGCAAGUAAAUUAUAAAAUACACCAGAUCGACAUCAGUAGGAGCAGGUCUGCUCUUCAAUGCUUUGCUCGCUCUUUCUUAUAAAAUAUCUCCACUUAAGUGUAAGAAUCAGGAAAAACCCAAUGCCUUGAAUUGUGACAUGGGAGUAGCACAUUCAUACCUAUGUAUGUACAGUGGUGCCCCGCAAGACGAAUGCCUCGCAAGACGGAAAACCCGCUAGACGAAAGGGUUUUCCGUUUUGGAGGUGCUUCGCAAAACGAAUUCCCUAUGUGCUUGCUUCACAAGACGAAAAUGUCUUGCGAGUUCCUGCGGGGGUUUUUUCCUUCCCCCCCCCUUUUUCCCAAGCCGCUAAACCGCUUAUCAGCUGAUGGCUAAGCCGCUUAUCAGCAGAUCUUUAAGCCGCUAACAGCUGAUGCUAAGCCGCUUAUCAACUGAUCUUUAAGCCGCUUAACAGCUGAUGCUAAGCCGCUUAUCAGCUGAUCUUUAAGCCGCUUAACAGCUGAUGCUAAGCCGCUUAUCAGCUGAUGGCUAAGCCGCUUAUCAGCUGAUCUUUAAGCCGGCUAAGCCGCUAAACCUCUAAUGGGCUUGCUUCGCAAGACGGAAAAACCCGCAAGACGAAGAGACUCGCGGAACGGAUUCUUUUCGUCUUGCGAGGCACCACUGUACACUCCACCCAAUUGAUUUAUCUUCUACAACUGGGUGGCUGCUUCACGCUGAGUCAGACCAUUAGUCCAUCUUGCUCAGUAUUGUCUUCUCAUCACAAGACGAUACUGUGGGCAGCCAGUGACAGGCAUACUUCAUUUGCAGGGUCCUGUACAAAACACAUUUCCCUCCCAUGUCCCCUACCCCUUGGUAUGACCUUCUUAAAAGUCACUGGCAUAAUUGCUGUUUUCAUGAAUGGUGUCUCGGAUAGUUUAACCCUGAAACAGAUGAAGUAUAGAGAACUUUCCCGGAGUGUGGCCACUAUCUCAUUCUGACAGCUUCCAGGAGUUACAGGUGAGAGCUGAGUGCAGGGUGCUGUUGGAAUGAAAUCACGACAGACGAAUAGCAGGUGUCAUGUGAGAGGCAUCUCUGGAGCAAGCCCCGAGAACUCUCUUUUAUAGAAUAUUACAAACAUUGCCACAGGUGCGCUCGUUGCUGAUUGGUUGAUACAAACACAAAGCAACUUGUUGCUGAUUGGUUAACACAAGUACAAGGCGAGGGUUACAUAUAGGCAUUAAUCACCAAUAGAUUAAAGGCUGGGAAAUAGAGCACAGAACUAGACAGGCAUGAAACCUCCUAAUUAAAUUAUAGCUAAUGAUUGAUAUAGCAUGACUAAAACAAUUACUAAUGAUUGAUCAUAACAUGAAAGAAUAUAAUAAUCGAGUUCCGUAGAUGUGGUCAGCUAUGCAUUAAGAACAGGUCAGAGUGUUUUCAUGAACUUAAGAUGAACUGAAAAUCCUAGGGAAAUGAGGGAAUGUCUUGGUAUUUAGAACAGGUUGUACAGUAUGUACAGAAGCAGAGAAAAGCUUAGAAGCGAGACUUCCCAUAAUGCCAGAGAAAAGAAGCAGGACUUCCCAUAAUGCCACAGUUAUGUGCAGAAAGAGAACUUCCCUUCAUCGUGCAGAUCAAAGGUGGAUAAACUAUCCCAGAAAGCGUACAAUGUGUCUUCCACCAGAAGUACUACCCCUCCCUUAAUGGUGUGUCUCAAACCCUCGGUGAGUUAGGGACUGCCCCUGCAGGCAAAGACAGGCUCCGGUGGAUUGAGCUGACAAGACCAAUAGUGGGUCCAAGGGUCAAGAAGGUGGUUUCUGCAUAUGCUGUAGAGGAAAAUGAGGGGCAGAUGGGGCUCUUCAACCUGAGAAGGCAGCCCAUCUAGGAGAAGGAAGACUGUGAUCCUAAACCUCUGCUGCCAUGUGGAGAUACCCAUUCAUGAGAAAGCCUUGUGCCCCAGAGGUCACUUGGUUCUGCUAAUGCAGCAAAAACAAUGCAGGAGGCAGCAGUUAUGGGUUACCAGUCUCUGCAGGUACAGCAGGUGCUGUGAUUCUCCAGCAGUUUAACUUCACCGCUGAACGCACACGCCAUUGUCUCUCAAGACAGGCAGAUGCCAACAUUAAAGGGCUGCACUCAAGAAAGGGCUGGACAUACCUCCUGCCCCUGUGGACCAUGUUGUUUGCAGGGAGUGAAUGCUCUCCCCCACCAGCGUUGCUAAUUACAGUUGAUUCACUUUGUCCCAAGGAAUUUCUUGGGAACCAUUGAUAAUCGAGGGCCAAACUAGAUGUGAUGCUAGUUGCAUGAAUGCAUGAGUUCUCCAUUCAGCAGCUAUUAAACAAAGUUAGUAAGAGGAUGCUUGUCUUCUGGACUAAAAGCUAACCUUUUCUAUCUCAGAUCUGACUGUCAACUUGGCAUCUCCAGACAUUCUCUGGCAGACCCGGAAAGAAGGAUGCUUUCCAUGUUAAGUCAAGAUCUGAUUUAGUCCCUUAAAAAUAUUUACAUGGUCAUUUAAUGAUGCAGAAGAGGAAAACAGAAACACUAACAAGAUGUUCACUUUCUCUCUUUUUCUGAUCUAAUAUGGAAAAUCAUGGUAAUGUGUGGGGUUUGAUGUUUGUAUUCCAAGCAUCACAUGGCUCCCGGCUUUGGUUUUUAGUGGUGAAGAAGAUGAGGUAACCCAUAACAUUAACAACCAUUCAGGAAAGGCUAGUUUCUCUUACAUCAUUUCAUCUAGACAGAUAUUCUAAAUAUAAUUCUGAAGCCCUAGCAUUUUGAAAGAAAUGCCUAUUUUUUUCAUAAAUUCAAUCCUGACUAAACAAAGUUUAGAAAGGCUGUGUACACACACUCGUUUACUCAGCAUCCCGUCCAGGGAUGUUUUGAUGUGUUUCUCCCCAAACUAGCUUCAAUGCAAACUGAGGAGAAAGAAUACUUUAAGCCGGUAAUUAAUACACAGCUAUAAAGUCCUCUCUGAGAUGUUAUACAAUGGGGCAGAUCCACACUAUACACUUAAAGUACAAAAUUUCCCUCAAAGGAUCCUGGGAACUGUAAUUCCCCUCUCACAGAGCUACAAUUCCCAGCACUUUUACCAAAGUCCAGUUCCCAGGAGUCUAUGCUGGGCUUGUGUGACCACCACAUAAUUUCUAAAAUGUCCUGAACUAACAGAAUAUCUAUCUUAACCAACCUGUGGUAAGCAAACUUAAUAAGACUAGCAAAUAUCAUUAAAUGCCCUGCGCAAGGACGCUAGGAAUCGUAACCGUUCUCCCCUUGCCCUUCUGCUGCCUUAGCCUCUGAAGGAAAAUAAUUGUUGGCAGAACUGCCCUGAAGAGCAACUCUAUGCUCAAGUGACUUGUAAUUGCUCCAGCAAACAUAAUGUUGAGCUCCAAUGAUUUUCAACAUUACAGGUCAGGCAAUAUAAAGAAGCCUUCAUUGAGUCUUAGCAAGGUUAUUUAUAGAUGUUCACUAGAUCUGAUGGGAGGAAAGGAAAAUGUGCACAGAAAUAAAUGUUAUCAUGGUAAACGCUGGCCUGAUCCUGUGAGGUUCUGCUGUUAACUGUAAAGCGGGAAACAGUGUUCCACUAAGGCUGCAAGGUCCAGGCAACGUGCAAGGGAAGCUAAGGAAGAGCAGAGGGUGACUGACUACCACCAGCAAAUAGCAGGACAGAGAGAAGGAAGCCAGGAGUGUCUACAAUGCAAGCCUUCAAAGGGCAUGAAAAGCUCACAUGUUUCAGGUGCCCUUUCCUAAAGGGUCUAAGUAAUGAUGUUUUUAACACAGCUGAUUAUAAUUUGGUUUAUGAUAACCUUUAUAUAAUGUUUCUGGCCUUUUUAAAAAUGCUGUUUUCUAACUGUUUUCGAAUUGUUUGGUGAUUCUAAUGUCUUUUAUAUUUUGCUUUUGCAAGCUGUCUCCUGAGGACUAUAAGCAGCCCUAAAAGACAGCCAUGUGUGUGUGUGUGUGUGUGUGUGUGUGUGUGCACAUGCGCGCAUGUGUACUUAUAUACAUUAACACACAUAUUGGACGUCCAGGAACAGAUCUGAUUUCAAAACUCCAAAACAAACUAAGAUAGGAAGGAGUUAGACUGUUCUAAAUACUGUGCUCAUUAACAUUUCAAAGCUAAUUCCAUGGAAUUUUGAAAGUAGUUAAAUGGGUGAUUAGUGCUAAAAAUUACUCUUUCUUCAAAGCUCUGUGCUUCUCUUAUUCUUGCUCUACUUAAAUGAAGCAAAGACCUCAUUCUGGCAGAGGGAAUCCAGUAUAGCACUGAUAUUUAUUUAACAGCAUCCUUUCCAGAGGUUUUUUAUAGGCACUAUAUAGUACUGCACAUUUUAAGGACAACAAAAAUGCAUUCCGCUCCCCGCUCCCCCAGAAAGCUGUUUAAUUAAUAUGCUGAUUAAUUUAUAGAAAUAGGGAAUUCCUUAUGGGCAACACACACACCAGCAUGCCCUGAUCUCUAUGUUUAUGCACAUUGCAUUUUUUUCUAUAAUAUUUUUAAAUUGUGAUCAUUGAAGUGCCGUCCAUUAUUACAGUCAGUUGAGAUCCUAUCAGCAAUGUGUAACAAAGAUUGCCUCUGAUUUAAAUUUCAUAGGGCCUGUUAUGUGCUGCAGUCAAGCAUGUAAUAGAUGCCGUAUCAAAAAUAGCACACCCUCUCUUGGCAACAUCAUUUGUCAAACCACAAUGGACAGGUGGAGACCAAUACAUGUUUUACACAUUAAGCAUUUGGGGAACGAGUUGAUGACAGCUCCCAUCCAACCAUGCCCUUGUAUUUUACACUACGUAAGAUGAUGCCUUGGCAGUACCCAUUUUGCAUGGAUGUGGGGGUGGAGGUGAACAAGGUGGCAGCAUGGCUUCAAUGGAUGAUGGCUCCUCCUCCUCAUGCCACCACCACCACCAUCAGGGGGCUGCUUCAACCCGCCUUCCUCUCUGCGGCAGGAAGAGGAGGAGCCAGCCACAGAAGCCACACUGCGUUUGGCUCCAUGCUCGACCUCCUCCGCCCCCUGAUUUUUUGGAACAUUAGGGGGCUGCUCCUCCCCCUAAAAAUAUUGGGGGAACUAAGAGUUGGCCACCAUGAGUUGGUCCUCUGGAUCAAGAUGAAUGCUCAACAAACAGGUCUGGAAAUGCCCCUUGACUCUUAAGGUGGCUGUUCCACACACACAUGGGAAUAAGCCCAACAAAGUGAACUUGGAUUGAUUUAAGCAGGCCUCUCUUUUUUAAAGCCAGAACUCACCAGAACUCAGUUCCAGCACCUCUCAGGUGGGCCCCAUUGCCAUUAUAAGAGAACAAGGGGAGUUCCGGCACCUCUCUUUCUAGAAAAAUAGCACUGGAUUUAAGCAUAAAUCACUGUCCUUAGCAGAAAGUUAUGCCAGUCUAUAAAAUAUCACAUGGAAAGCAUCAACACUUGUUACUAUCCCCUAGAAAGACCUCUUUAGGCUAGUGAAGGAUCCAGAAGCAUCUUGUUUAUACAUGUGUCUUUUUCAGGGCUAUAUAUCUUAAUUCCACCAGCAUUAUGACUGCAAUCUGGGGCUCAUUUACUCACAAUAUUUUACCGUAUAUUUUAGUACAUGGGUGAUAUGAAAAAGUAGCCCUGUGUCACCAAGUGCUCUAAUUGCAAAUGGGACAUCAUAGAAGCCCAGAAUCAAACAAUUUUGUCCAUUAGCUAUUGCUCAUGGCCAGUUUGAAUUUAAUCCAGCUACAUGAACAAGAAUUUAAAAGCACACUACACUUUUCUUCCAGUUCAACUUAUCAAUUUUUGAACCAUUUGGGGGAACCAUUCUUAACAAACAUAGUUAAGAAUUAGUAAGGACAUUUUUAUUUACCGCAUAAUUUAUUACAUUAUAUUUGAAUAAAAUCUACAUUAAACAGCAGGUCUCAAAAAGUGAUGAAAGGGUGCAAUGUUACAGGAAUGCUAAAGAAAGGUGAGACCUCUAGAACAAAUGAAAAAGUAAGAUUGAUAAUGUACAUUCAUUUAACGGCAACUAUAAAAAUUCUACUGCAGGAAUAAGACCCUUCAUAGAUCUACAGAAACCAUUUCAACAGCUCUCUUUCCAAAGAGGUAAUUUAUGCUUAAUAUGGGAUACCUUGCUAUAUAUGUGCACAUAUAUAUGGGUUAAAUUACUGCACCUGUCAAGGCCUCUGUGUAGCAUAGCUCCAUCUAAUUAUGUUGUAAAACCUGUUCAUUACAUGGAAAUUGUCUUUUCAGUGGGUGGUUUUUUGUUUUGUUCAGUCAUGGUCUAUAAUGCUAAAUAUAUGUUAAAACUGACAGAGGGGAAAGUGCUUAGCCUGUGCUGGAGGAAUUGGGGGGUGGCAGAAAAUUUUCUUUGCCCUAAAGGGAGCAUGGGGCACUGAACACAUUACUGUUUGAUUUUAUCUAUUAAGUCAGGAUGAAGCUCAAGGUCGUUUUUCUUUUUAUAUGAAUGGGCCAUUGCACAGUAGCAAGCGAAAGCACAUACAGCUUUCGGAGGAGCGGGGGGGGGGUGUAUGUGUAUGUUUAGGGAUGGGAGAGAAAUUUGGAUUGCAUUUUAAUGUGAAACUCAACUACAGUGGUACCUCAGGUUAAGAACUUAAUUCAUUCUGGAGGUCCGUUCUUAACCUGAAACUGUUCUUAACUUGAGGUACCACUUUAGCUAAUGGGGCCUCCCACUGCCGCCAUGCGAUUUCUGUUCUCAUCCUGAAGGUAAAGUUCUUAACCCGAGGUACUAUUUCUGGGUUAGUGGAGUCUGUAACCUGAAGCGUCUGUAACCCAAGGUACCACUGUAGUUCAUACUUCCUGAAACAACAUGCAAACUGAAAUACAGCUGUUCCUGGAAAUUCACACUUCUACAAAUUUUGUGAUGCGAUUCUCCAACCCAAAAAUGUGUACAAAAAUGCAUGUGUUAGGGGAAAGUGUAUGGGGUGUUGGGAGAGGGGUAGCACCUCUGGUCACACCCCAGGAACAACUUCAACUGAACAGCUAAGACACGUGAGGGAAGCCGAUGGGUCUUAAACCCUCAGGGCAUUAGGGACUUCUCCUGCAUGUGAAGACAGGUGUACUGAGCAGGCGAUACCAACAGUAGGUCCAACGGUCAUGAAGGUGGUUUCUGCUUGUGCUCUAGAGGGAAGUGAGGGGCAGGUGGGGCUCGUUAGCCUGGGAAAGUAGCCCAUCUAGGAAAAGGAAAAACUCUGCAGUGGAGGGUGUUUUCCUGUGACCAGUGUUAAAAUAAGAUUCACUUGCCAACGCACACAAUUUCUGUAAGUGGACCAGGAAGUGGGUGCCAUUUUGUCCUUCACCUCAAGCAGCAAAAUGUCUUGGGCUACCCAUGGCUGUUCCAAGAGGGAUGGGACACUUGGAGAGGCUUUCAAUCAGAUGAAAGGCCACAGCUUUUUUCAAACACAACCAAUUAUCGUUCUCUCUCUCAGCUUUCUAAUGGUCCCUUCCAUGGUGAAUGCUGAUGAUGUGUUUCAAGGGUAUGCUUGAGGCACAAAAUGUAUUUAUUUUAUGGAGACAAUAGUUCUGUGCAUUCAGUAAGCAUGGAGGGGCAGGGCUACAAUUGUGGCAGCAAGUCUAACCUGCUGCAUACACCCAACAUUCACACAUUGGUCAUAUUGUCUGCAUAAGGAUUAAGCAUGAACUCCCAACUUGCCUAUCCAUCACCAGUAAAAAUGCAGCGUGCAGAUCACACAAUAGGUUCCAAUGUGCAUUGGGGGUCUACACACCUAGACCUUUAUGCAACUAUUAUAAUUAAUGAAUGUUGCUAGGGUUGCAGAUGUAGUGGGGCCUGCUUCUACAGUAAUUGUCUCCCUUCAUCCACAAUUUAAUUUAAUGUCUGCACAGGACUAUACCAUUAAGCACAUUUGGAAAAAUCUGCGAUUGUUCACCACGCUAGCUGCGCAUUAAUUUUAAUAUAUGAUUAACACAUACUCCAAUGAGCACUCUCUUAACCACUACUAAAUGUUUGAAUGUCAAAUUACUUAUUUGAAAAUAUGCAGGUCAGCAGCUCCUCACUUGAGAAAUUAAAUAAACUAGUAUUCAUUCGUUGCAUUUGUGAAGCGUUUUUCUUAGGCCAUUUAAGUAAAAAAAAAUUUCAUGCCAUUCUUCUCUAUGGACAUCUUUAGACAUUUCUGAGGGAAAGAAGAAACAAACAAGACAGCUCCGGGCAAUGCAAUGCUAUAUCCAUCGGAAGCAUUGUGUUUUUUUCUCAAUUUUCCUUCCUUAGCAGCUGGCCUGAAGGAACUAAACUUAGCAGGACUGAGGUGUGGGAAACCAGAUAGCACAUUCUAGGGCCUGAGAGGAAAUGCAAGGCUCAAUGUGUUUGAGGUUAAGAUUAAUGCUUGACUUCCUCCGGGGCUAUUUUAAACAGUGGUAAAGGAUGGCUUGCUUUCUUAUAACAAAAUGACAGAUGAUCAAAAGGUUGACUAUGAUCUGUAUGUCAGGCAUUCGUGCCCCUGUUGUAGCCCUUUACUUGACAGGGGCAUUUGAACACAGUGGCUUCUACUUCCUUUCCUCUUUGUUUACCCAAAACAUGCCGGUAACUGGGAAAGGCAAUGUAUCAGCUGGGGAAGGACCAGCGGACUUUGCAUGUGUCCGCAAAGCGGAGAGCAGCUGGCUUAGUUUUGAACAAAGUGUGAAAUUGUAGGGACUGGGAAUACUGCUGUCUCAGUACUGAAAAUUAAUGUGGUGAUGUAUUCUGGACUGACACUCUGGGAUGCUAAAUAGCUGAAGCCCAACCUCCCAAACUGAUUGGUGCAGCUGCUGCUAAGGUGGAACUACUUUGUCUCCAAGCCACCCAGCUUUUCUUCCUCUUCUAGAAGCACAAAUGAGUCCCUCAGCACAUUCGAGAAACUCCUAAGAUUCUUCAGUUGUGGAUCAUGGGACAAAUUCACCAAAGCGCAAAGCGGUGCUUUUUUUCAGCGAGUACUCAAGGGUACACAAUACUGGGGCUUAUCAAACAACCGCUUAUCACUCCAAUGUGCUGUUCCCUGAGUGAAAUAUUCUUUCCACUGUGACUAGCAAAACCAGUGUCUAGAACAUGGAUUUAUAACACACUCCCAACAUUAUAAUUACAUUUUUUUCCAUGUGGAUUAUUACAAUUGUUUCCCCACACAAAUUGUAAUAGGCCACAGUUGCAAUCUGGCCCUUAUUACUCUGAUUCACAUAACCGUUAACAACAUUCAAUUAUUAAUACUCUCUCUUAACUAGCAAUCUGGUGACUGGUUUCCUAACAACCCUUUGUCAUUUCUCUCCUGUGUGAAACAGCAACACAAGGCUUAUUGAACAGGUCUCAUAUCACACUGGGGCGCUGGUCCCUCAGGGGAAAUCUCUCUAUUCUAGCUAGCAUAUUAGGUAUGAGGGGCCUGCUUUUUGAAGCUUUGACCUUUCUUCCUUAUACGGCAUCUGCACUUAAAUGUAAGAUUUAGGGAAAACCCAAAUACCUCAGAUUGUGACACGGGAGUUAUGCAUACAUACCUAGGCACGUAUACCCCUACCUAUAUGGUUAUCUUCUACAACUGAGACACAGAUGGCUGCUUUAUGCUGAGUCAGACCAUUAGUCCAUCUUGCUCACUAUUGUCUACUCACUAGACAAUACUGUGGGCAGCCAGUGACAAGCAUCCUUCGUUUUGCAGGUUCUUGUACAAAAUGCUUUCCCCGCUCCCCUUCCAAUUUAGUUUGAUGAUUCACCAGGAUCCAAUUCCAUACCUCUUGAUCAGAGGCAAAACAUUAUUAUGAGAAGGCAUUUACAGUGGUACCUUGGGUUACAUAUGCUUCAGGUUACAUACGCUUCAGGUUACAUACGCUUCAGGUUACAGACUCCGCUAACCUAGAAAUAGUGCUUCAGGUUAAGAACUUUGCUUCAGGUUGAGAACAGAAAUCGUGCUCCGGCAGCGGCAGCGGGAGGCCUCAAUAGCUAAAGUGGUGCUUCAGGUUAAGAACAGUUUCAGGUUAAGUACAGACCUCCAGAACGAAUUAAGUACUUAACCCAAGGUACCACUGUAAUUAAAUAUGACGUACACAUCUCCAGAAUGUAUAUAAAUUAUAGAUGCAUACUUAUGGCAAAUAUUAAUAGGCAUGACAAUCUUGGAUUGGUAGGCAGUGAGUCAACUUCAGACUGGGUGCAUUUCUGUUGGGGGGGGUGGAUUAAUGUACAACUGCACCGUAUGACAAAAUGAUCAUAUGUGAAGAUUUCUGAGUUUGAUCCUUCCCUACAGAGCUUGUACACUCUCCUGUCACUGCUGGCAGCAGCUCUGGGGUCCAGGCAGGGGUCUAUCCCCACCACAUCUGGCAUGACUUUCAUGUGCCCACAUAGGACAGACACCUAAGAGUUGACACGUGUACACCUGUUCAUGCACCUUGUUCAACAUGCACCAACCCAAGCCUUGCUCCACUGCAAAUUAUACACCCCAGUGUGUAAACUGCCCCUUAAUUAAUUGAUGGACUUCCUUGCCCCAGAUGUUGCGAAUGUGAGAGUCAGUGGUACAGAUAGCACUAAGAACAGAGAGACCUAUCUUCUGCAUGAAUUUGGUCGAUCAAUGGCUAUUAGUCAUGAGACAUGGGACUUAACAGUGUAUUCCCAUCUGCUAAGUGGAGUGUUCCUAUCCAGGACUCCUGAGAAGGAGCUUUGUUCAGUAGUCUUGUUCAGGCCUCUCGGGGAGAGGAAAGUUUCAGGAGUAAGAAAAGAAUAAAGAACGUGAUUUUCCUCCCCUUCCGCCAUCCCAAGGCCUCUGCUGGCUGGGCUAUAAAGCAGUAGGAGGCUGCCAAAUGCAAAUAUGAGUUUUUACAGCUAAAUAGGGGAGGAGGGCCCACACUUCUGGAGAAAGAGAAAAAGUCGGGGGGGGGGGGACAGGGCACUGCUCUUAAAACAGGACAGAUAUAAUCUCACUCCUUCUCUAAGACACAUCAUACAAUCUGUCAGCAUGAAAAAGUGAGUUUCCUCUUUUCCCUCCAUCCCCCGUUUUCCUUCUUUGGAUUGGUUUUGUCUUGUUUUCAGCUAAAAUUCUCUGCUCGAACCAUUCUCAUCAAAAGAUUUAAUUUACAGACUUGCAUAGCCUGCCUGCUUUCUGCCAGCAAGGUGUGCUGGCUGAGGAUGAUUGCAGUUGUAGUCCAAAACAUAUGGAAGGCAACAGACUGGCAAAGGUAUAGUCAGGCAGCUUUGGGGUUUUCUAUUAUGUUUAAGUCAUUUUGAUUUAUAUACUUGUAUAAUCCUGCUUGCCUAGGGAGUUCCCUCAGUACGUCAAAACCAGCACUUUAUCUUUGGGCGGCCCUGCUUCACUUCCAAAAUCAUAGGCACUUCACAACCUGAGUUUGCUAUUAUUGGGAACAAGUGGGACCUGCAACAAAAUGUUGCAAUGCUGAGUGCUCCUGUUCAGUGAUUCACCCAAAAAGCCAAGCUGCAUUUUCAAGAUACUAUGUUCUACUUCCCCUCCCAAUUUCCAGUUUUCUAUUUUCUCCCCAAGCAGACACUCAGCAUUUUGUGGCCACAAAACCUGCUGUCUUCCUUUGGCAUUUUUAGGGUGGGGUUUUGUGUUGUGUAUGUUUUGCCCUCUUAGGAUUUCAUCCUAAAUGUUUGUACCUCUGGGAACCUUGGGGUUCUUCUGAGCAUGCUCAUACUUUCCUCUUGUUUCUCAGUGGCCUCAUUUUGGCUGCAGCAGCUGAGUUCAUUGUUGGAAGGAAAGAUGACAACUAAAUUGAAACUGCAUGUUCAGAAGCGGUAUGCUUUUGAUGAUCAUCGGCAGGGAACAAGCAACAGCAGGAACCAAACAUCUCCAUCAUGCCUUACUUCAGGGUUUGGAUAAGUGUAUAGCUAACCACUGUUGGCAACAGAUGAGACUGAGUCUGGGGGCACCUAAGGUUCUUAUGCCAGCUCAGCAUCAGGGGCAGACUUUGGCAAUAUGGCGCCCAAAGCGAGGACAACAUUUGGUGCUCCCUAAAUAUUUCUUAUUUUAAUGCCCUCCUCAGUUGAUAAAGCAUGAGACACUUAAUCUCACGGUUGUGGGUUCAGGCCCCAUGUUGGGCACAAGGAUUCCUGCAUUGCAGGGGGUUGGACUAGAUGAUCCUUGUGGUCCCUUCCGACUAUACAAUUCUAUAAUUCUAUGCCCAUGAUGGAUAGCCUUUCAUUCUGUGCAUGCUCUCAAUUUCACUAUGUCCAUUGCGGCAGCCUUUGGCUAUGUGCAAUAAAACUGACUGAGACUGAGACUAUGUCAUAGGUAUGGCAACUGAAUUGCCCAUCUGACCAGGGCAUAACUUUGAGUAGACACCCAUAUAAAUAUAGGAUUGUUGUUGUUGUUUUGUGCCUCCUUGGCUUGGCACCCUGUGGAGGAACACCUUGCACCACUAGCAUUAGCUCCUGGUGUAGUAGUGCUAGUGCCAAACAUCACUCCAAAACACACACAUUGAGGAGGAGAGUUCUUUCACAAAAGCUCUGAGCUAAGGGCCACAUGGCCACUUCCUUUGGUUGAUGGAAGUUCCAGUCUCAAAGUGCCUGGGGCAAUAUUACAAUCCAGCAACAAAACUUCUAUGCCAGCAACAAAAUAAUCUCAACAUGGUGACCCAAUUUUUUCAGGUUGCUUAUGCCUCUUACGUAUUACAAAAACCUCAGCACCAACUAGGGCCAUUGUUGUGUAUGACUCAGUAGACGGGAAUGAUUAAUGUAGACUGUUUUCUUGUUUAACUAUGUUGCUUUGAAGGCUCCUUUGUGAAGGUAGGUUAGCAGAAGCUGAAUUAAAUGUAAGGAAUCUAGGAAAGGUGACGUGUCAUGAAAGCCCACCUCACAAAAAUGGAACAAGAUACAAGAGGUUUAUUAGGUUAUUGUGUAAAUUCAACCUUUUUUCUUUUCUUUUGGAGGAAAUAGAGGGUUUUAUUUUUUUUUAGGAAAUAAAAGUAUCAGUCACAGAAAUAGGUGGCAUUCUUUAUGGUACCAUUUGAAGUCCAUCUUCAUCUGGGAAAUAUUUGGCUUAUUUUCUUGUUUUGCCUUCUACAAUAUUGCACUACAAAUAUUUGGGGCAUUAAGUAGGCCAGACACAAUUUAACUAACAGAGCAACUCAAAGCAGACCUUUGCAGCUCCCCAGAACUGGGUUGAAAUAACAUCACAAAUAAUUAAUGUUACAGAAAAGGUUAUAUUUUUAUUUGCGCUACUAUUCCCCCAAGCACAGGCAAAAAUAUUGAACCAAUAAAGUCUAUUUUAUCUGACCACUCAUACGUAAACACUUAAACACCAAGACACUGUUUACUUGCAGAUAAUAGCUUGCUAUUAGACCCAAAGAGUGUGAGAGAGAGGGGAAAUUGCUAAAUAAUUCAAAUAACAAUUUGUGGAAAAUGCAGUAUUCCAUUAAUAUUGUAAGUGGAAAAACUCUGAACAUUCAGAAGAACAUUUAUGAGUGGAAACUUGUCAAAUUCAUUUUUAAUAGCCAGCAUUUCAGUCUAUUUUUUGCAACCAGAAAAUAUUUAGGCAGAUGGCAAACUGCUUGUGUUUACUGCUUGUAAGUGGCAAUAAAUCGACAUCCUCUUAUCCUGUGCUGCCACAACUUACCCUCUCUCUUACCCUCUGGUCAUUUGUCCUCUUCCACUUGCUAAAUGUUUUCGUUACAUGUUGGAGAUAUGAGCCUUUUUCUCCCCCCAAAAAUUCAGAAGCAGCCCUUAAGUAACAUGGGAAUUAAUAUGUACAUUUGUACAUUUUGAUUUUGGUAUUGUUAAGGUUGUCAGCGACAGGUUAUACACCUGUCCCAACUUGAUUGUCCUGGCUGCUGGUUGUUACCUAUAAAGCCUUAAAUGGCUCAGAACUGCAGUAUCUCAAGGACAGGCUCCCUCCGUAUGGACCUACAUGGACCCUGCAAUCAUCAUCCAAGGCCCUAAUUGUUUUGUUCAUGUUCCUAUUAUGCAUUUUGUGGUUUUUAUGUUGUGAACCGCCCUGGAAUCUGCAGAGGAAUACAAAUUUAUUAAAUACAAAUUUAAUAAAUAAAUAAUUUCUCCUCCCUCUAGGUUUUUUUUUUUUGGUUUGUUUGUUUGCUUAGCUGAUAGCUAAAGAUACCGUAUUUUUCGCUCCAUGGGGUGCACCGGACCAUAGGGCGCACCUAGUUUUUAGGGGGGGAAAUAAAGAAAGGCUUGCGGAUAGCUUCCUGAAGCCUGCAUUCGCUCCAUAGGACGCACACACAUUUCCCCUUCAUUUUUGGAGGGGAAAAAGUGCGUCCUAUAGAGCAAAAAAUACGGUACUUUCUCAACAGAUACUGGUGGCUGGUGCCUACUGGCUACUGCAUAUUCCACCUGCCUGGAUACAGGGCCAGGGAGAAAUAGUCUGACAUUUUGGAAUGUAGCCAGCAGAUGAAGGUUUUGCAGCUAGCUGCUGAGAAGGGACAAGGUGGAGACAGGAUAUGCUGUUUGCCUUUGAAUCUGAUGCUACUUAAAAGCCUAGCCCUCGCUAAUGGGUCAUUGCUUGCUGCCCAAAGUUCAGCUUGUAUAUUAAUUUAUAAAGGAAGAGGUAAUAUAAACAUGGCUCCAGUACUCUCCACCCAGGAAAAUGGCCUUGUAAAAGGCCAGUAUUUCCUACCUCUGUUUGGACAUGCAAACAGUAUCAACCACAGAUUGAUUCAACAUGAGUUUUACCAAUUUAUAAUUACAGCAACUACAGAGCAGCUGCUUUGGGGCAUGGGGCAAUAAAUGAAUACAGUCGGAAAUGAAUUAUAAUAAUACUUACAGUGUGUUGUUACAGUGUUGGAGAGAUGAGGGAAAGCUGCUUGUUUUCAUAUUUUUGAGUUAGAAUUCUAUGAACCUUUUUUAUUACAAAUGUAUCAGUAAACUGUCUCUAAACCUUUUUAUUCACUACUACUGCAUUUUCAUGUGUUACUUUUUAUUAUUUCUAUGUGGCAAAUUGAAGACCUUGUUUGGUAUAGAAAAGCCAAGAUACCAAGAUACUAUUCAAAACAGUAAGAAUUUACCUACCCACUCGCUGAUGUAAAAUACAUUUUAUCAUUGAUGUAUUUUUUAUGAGGCAGGGAUCCAAGUUACAAAAGUUUGUGAAAGUGAGUAGUCUGGGUAUAUAUUUAUAUAUCUACAGAAAUAUUUCGCCUCCGUCAUGCAAACAUUGCCAUAUUGGUGCUAUUUAAGGGAGAUAGGGAGUGUCAGUAUUUCAGAUAACUUCUGAUUAUGCCUCAGAACACCUAUGUUUCCAGAUAUUAUAAGGUACAGCAAACAAAUAAAUGUUCUUUAGCAAUAAACUAGAAUUGAACAGAGAAGAUUUGUUUGGGGUUUUUUUCUUUUCUUGACUCCUUCAGAAAGCUGGUUUUUGAGCCUUGUAGUGAAUCUAGCAGUCAUCACUACCUCUGGCCAUCUAAUGAAACAACACGGUGCCCUUACACCUUGCAGGAUAAAGGUAUAUUAAUAAUUUAAUUCACUUUGCAAUCAGUCCUUUCACUUUUUUGAUAUCAAUGGCUUCUCUGAUUCUAAAACCAUAAGGGAGACCCCAUUACUGCCACCUUCUGGUUCAAUCUGUUCCUCACAGUCACUUCCAAAUUUAGACCAGGUGAUCACAUCUUAAGACACUGCUUAAAGCAAAAGCAUUUGACAGAAAAACCUCAAGCUGUUAUUAAAUGCUAGUUUUAUCACACCAAUACAGAGGAGCAGCCUGUUAAAAAAAAAGAUAGCUCUAGCAAUAUCUCUCUUCUGGCCUCUUUACUAGCGAAACGGAAAUCUAUAAACUUAUUAUCUAGGGUUUAGAUAAAUUAAAAUAGCAUUUUCUGUUGCACCUUGAAGAUUUAGAGUCCUUGCAAUAGCAUUAAUCUGAUGCUAUUGCCCAACAGAAUCUGCAUUAUCUCUCUAUGGACAAGGUUAAUAUGAACAAAUCACAUUAAAUAUACAUUUAUAUAAAUAGAUAAUGUUUCAGUUGAUACAGCUGGGAAUCUUUCAGUUUCCACAUUUAUUUUCACAAGUGAGGAUUUAUACAAAGGAUCAGCAGGUAGCAGAUCCAGGGCCCUCUGUGAUACACUUUUCCUUGUCGCCAGUGCUAUUUUUCUAGAGAAAGAGGUGCCAGAAAUCACCAUGAAAACACCUCCCUUGUUUUCUUAUAAUGGCAAUGGAGCCCACCUGAGGGGUGCCGGAACUGAGUUCCAGUGAGUUCUGGCUGAAAAAAGCCCUGCUUGUUGCCAAUUCAGAUGGAUUGGAGCAGCAGGAAAUCAUCUGAUGCUCAGAGUCUGUGUCAAUCCUGCAGAAGAAGUCGGGGAAGAGGACGCUAAUACUCAGGGUCUCCUGAGACAUCUUCUGAGUCCAUGUUAUAAGGCAGGGCUCUUUGACAUUACUUAUGAGGGCUCUUUUUAGAGUUGAUUGAGGAAGAGCUUCAGCUGAGGGACCUGGACAUUAUGGCUGCUGUCUGUGAGAUGGCUGCAGCCAUAUUUAGGGAAGCUUUUAAUGUUUGAUGUAUUACAGUAUUUUAAUUUUAUUUUUUUGGAAGCCACCCAGAGUGGCUGGGGAAGCCCAGUCAGAUGGGCGGGGUAUAAAUUAUUAUUAUUAUUAUUAUUAUUAUUAUUAUUAUUAUUAUCAUCUGCAUGCCUUUUUGGAUGACUGCUCAGGGUCAUCCAAAAUGUGGAAAGAGGGGCAACUGGCCUUUGUCUUUCUAACUACCAGCAAGCUGAGGGAGGGGACCCCACCCAUUUGCUGUCUGGCACAGAGCCACUUCCUUUGUUGCCUUAAUAGCCCAUACUGAGAGGGCCAUUACCUCACCAGGAAGCUAGCCUGGCUAUUCCAGGAACUGGAUUCGUGCUAGAUCCAGGAAUUAGAAUGGGGCUCAGGCAUAUAGCCUACCUCUUGGUAGCAAUAAGGCUACCAAGCAGCUUCAUUUUGGGAGUGCUGCGUUUUACUACCCAAGUAAGUUUUAGAAACAAGUGGUCAUUUGUGCUAUUCUUCAAGAUUAUUUGCGGGCCCUUGGGAAACGGCAGUUUAAAAUUUGAUUAGGAGGUGCUGCAGUUCCUAGAGGCAGAAGGUGCAAUAUCUUGUGAGCAUCUGCUUGACUGCCCAGAGAAAAUGAGCAAAGUUCCAUUGUGCGCAUUAUGCCUCCUGGGCUCCAUUACCUAAUGUACACAUUGAAGUCUGAUGCAGGAAUACAGCGUUCUUGAUACACUUUGUAUAAAUAACCUGCAAGCAACAUCUUGAAGGGAUAAAGGCUUACAAGAUACUUAGAAACACAAUUUCCGCUGCGAAAAACAGAAGUUUGUCCUCUCACUCCCACACUAAUUUUUUUUUUUGGCAAGCACCUUAAUUUCAGAUGCUGCCAUAAGUUCUGACAACGGGAGCACUGGAAUAAUCGGAAAGCACACUUGAGGGUCCCCACGCGGAAAACAUUUGGCACAAGUAGUGUGUGGAUGUUUUAUGCUUGCUGUUUGCAGAACAGAGAAGCUCAUCAGAUGGCCAGGCAAUUAGGGAAUCAUAGCAAGCACAAUUCCCCCACAGCUAAAAGCAAAGCUAAAAGAACAGACGUAAUUCUAGCUGAUUUUUACGGCUAUGUCAGGGACAACAGCUCCAUCAGCCUCGCUUUGUAUCAUCACAGAUUUAGGUAUGUGCCUUCCUCUGAUUUUCAGCUGCCACUAACUCACCAGGAAUGCCUUCAGAACCUCAUAGUAGCAUGUAUAGCAGACUUAGGCAUGAGAUGGAUGCCAAUGCUAGAGACAACUGUCUCUCUCACUGACGGUUUACUCCAACUGACACUAACCUCCAGCCAAUCAGUCUGCUGUCACCCAGACCAAUCAGAUUGAAUUUACCUGAUCCACGCUCCAUCUAAUAAGAUUUUUAAGCCAUCAUCUCUCUCUCCACUGUCAGAACCUGUCAUCUGAUCUACCGCUGCACAGGCUUGCAACAUUUUUAAUAGUACACAGCAUCAAACCUUUAAAGUCACAGUCACAGAACACCCCCUCCCUCAAAUAAUAAUAAUAAUAAUAAUAAUAACAUGAACAUAAACAUAUAUGCAGCGUUCCUCCACAGACUACAUGGUGGCUGUUUAAGGGACGCGGGUGACACUGUGGGUUAAACCACAGAGCCUAGGACUUGCCGAUCAGAAGGUCGGUGGUUCGAAUCCCCGCGAUGACGUGAGUUGCCGUUGCUCGGUCCCUGCUCCUGCCAACCUAGCAGUUCGAAAGCACGUUAAUGUGCAAGUAGAUCAAUAGGUACUGCUCCGGCGGGAAGGUAAACGGCAUUUCCGUGCGCUGCUCUGGUUCGCCAGAAGCGGCUUAGUCAUGCUGGCCUCAUUACCCAGAAGCUGUACGCCGGCUCCCUCGGCCAAUAAAGUGAGAUGAGUGCCGCAACCCCAGAGUCGGCCACGACUGGACCUAAUGGUCAGGGGUCCCUUUACCUAUGGCUGUUUAAACUGUGCGGGGGCAUUGCUUUUUUUGUUACUAGUUGUGUAUUUUUGUGUUUAAUAUUGUAAAGCUCCCUGUGAUCCUUGGAUGAAGAGUGCUAUAGAAAUGCAUGAUUCUGGCUUUGCAACUAGAAUGAAAGAUGUGCAUACCUGGAAACUGAAGGCUAGCUCAGCUGUCAUCUUACCCUGCCUCCCCUGCUCCCUUUUUUGGCAUUUAAAGGCAGCACACAGGCAUUCAUAUGUUUAUCCAUUCGGUCAUUGCCUAAUUCAUUUUUAAAAUAAUUGUUCAAAGUACAGAAUUGCUCCAGGCAAGGGUUUUUGGUGACAUCAUGGCUCCAGGAGCCAACCAGAACCAGGCAUUUGUUUAUUCAAUUAUUUUCAAUAAAAAAAAAUGCCACUGUUUAGCUAAGACAUUUCCAGAGUAGUUAACAGUAUUAUAAUUAAAUAUGAUGUAAUAAAAGAAAUUCAAACAAGACAGGAAACAACCAGACAAAACAAUCACAGCAGAGAUGGGGAGGAGGGGAACCUGGUAAACAAAAACAAAAUGGUGGAAAGCCAACUCAAUCAAUUAAGAUCAUCUAACUGACACGCUAAAAUGUUGUACUUUGUCUACUCUAUGCAUACAGUAUUGGAAGCUUAGAUCUGAAUUGACUUUGUCCCUAUGAACUUAAGGGGACCCACUUGCAACUGAGAUAACGCCUGUCUUCAAAAUCCCUCAAUUGGUUCCAUUUCUUGGUCACAAUAGUGAGUGACUGAACGCACGACAAAAAAGGCAGAGAUCAUUCUCUCAUACCAACGUGCCUCCCUUGAUUCAGUGCUUCCUUUCCUACCUCAGCAACCUGGCAUCUGACUCCAGACGCUGUCUUAGUUCCUGGCAGGCCCAAAAAGGAUGCUUUCCCUGUAAGUCAAGAUCUAAUUUAGUCUCUUUGGAAAUGUUACAUGGCCAUUUAAUGAUGCAGAGGAGGGAAACAGAAAUACUAACAAGAUAUUCAUUUCCUCUGUUUUUUUUCUGAUCUAAUCUAGCCGUCAGGAAAUAUGGAAAAUCAUGGUAAUGUGUGGGUUUUGCUGUUUGUAUUCCAAGCAUCACACGCUUCUCAGCUUUGUUUUUGCCCCCAGCCUGCUUCGAAGCAACAUUCGAGAACCAGAAAACCAGUGUGGUGUAGUGGUUAAGAGCGGUAGUCUCGUAAUCUGGGGAACCGGGUUUGCGUCUCCGCUCCUGCACAUGCAGCUGCUGGGUGACCUUGGGCCAGUCACACUUCUCUGAAGUCUCUCAGCCCCACUCACCUCACAGAGUGUUUGUUGUGGGGGAGGAAGGGAAAGGAGAAUGUUAGCCGCUUUGAGACUCCUUCGGAUAGUGAUAAAGCGGGAUAUCAAAUCCAAACUCUUCUUCUUCUUCUUUUAGCAUGGUACAGAUGAGGUAACCCACACAAUAACAACCAUUGGAUACAGCCCUAUAUUUCUUACCAUGCAGAUUGAUUUGUCUGUUAUUGAGCGAACUCAGGAUCCAUUGACUGUGGUUGGAAUGGAACAUACAGCCUUUGAUUUGGAUCUUUAAUUCCUCUUAUGCUCUAUACCAAGGGUAGCCUGUGAAAAUUGCCUCUUGAAUAUGCUGGGCUCAGGCUGCUAAGGGCUAUGUAGAUCAUUAUUUCCACUUUGGAAUCAAUCCAGAACGCAACAGGGAACCAAGGCAGCCACUGAAAUGAUGCUUUCCCACCUAGGCUCGUAGUAAAAAUUUGAGUAAGACUUCAUUGGAGAAAAAUGUUACAGUAGAAGGAGUCCCAGGACUGCCCAUUCUCGUAUGGACAAACAUAAAUUACGGAAAAGAAAGGGGCAAACUUGCUGCAACAAGACUGGAGAGAGGAGAUAGACCCCAGACAUUUAGAGGCACUCUCUAAUAUCUCCCGAGCUUUAUCGCUGAAAUGGGGGGGGGGGGCUUACGUUUUAUUUGGGCUAAAAUUCAGUGGGAGGAAGGGAGUAACUUCUUGUUUUGUAUUUUUAAAAGCUUAUUAUUCUCAACAGAGCAAGGGAGAACAACAAAAAUAAGCAGGCUUAUGUGCUCUGAUUCCUUCACUGAAUCAAGACCCAUGGUCUCAGAUGUGGAUCCAGUUGCUCCACUUGCAUGGUGCAAGUUGCAUUCCAAGGGAAAGGGUUCUAAUGUGAUCUCCAUCCAUGCGAUAUAGAUCUCCAACCAGUCUCAGAGAUUUGCAUGUGCCAGUUCAGAACCGUCUGCAGUAUUUUGAUGCUUAGUGAACUAGUCAACACAUCUGAUAAGUAUGGCCUCAUCAACACAUGAACAGUAUAUUUGAUGGUGGCAUCACAAGACUGAACGGACCUAGGAUAAGUUUUCACCAGAACACUUCACAAUCUAGUUUUCUCUAAAGAUCUUUAAUUUCUUAGGUGGUAAAAUGUCUGAAGUUUGUCAGGCUCAAGAGAGCUCAAAGGGGCUGAGAUUAGGCCCAUUGCAACCCUCUAAUCAGUGUUUUCAAAUGACUGUUUCCUAAUAAAUUUAAUGUUGUGGGGUUGUUUUAAAGACGGAGACAAUCUCCUCAAGGGAUAAGUAUGUUACUUCAGUGGUCCAUUUGCAUCUGUUUAAGUUAUCAAGUCCUCAUGUUUUUAUUUCUAAGUCCAUUUUUUGCCCAUAUGUCCACCCACCCAUCCCAUUCAUGAAGAGCUCGGAGUUGUGGAUUUGGCAAAUCCAACAGCCAGUUCUGUUGUUCUAAUUCAUAAGGAUGCCGAUGGGCCUAUGGGAUAUGGCCAGCAAUUUGAAGAAAAACCACAGGAGGUUUCUCUUUGGUUGAUUUAUGGCAACCUGUCAUGAUUACGAUACAUACACAGAAUGACUGUAAUAUAUACCAGAGUCAAGUGGUGCUUCUAGAAGCGAAGAAAAAAUGUUUGAAAGAAGGGUUUUGUCAAUGUUUGGCCUGAAGGCAAAGGAUUGGUUAAAUCAUAACUUGAAUCACACAGGCCCAGUUUCAACUGUAAACUGGAGUGCUAGUGUUUCCACCUGAUCUCCUUCCCUUGAGUGCCUCCUAUGCCUCCCCCAAAUCACUCUGGAGGGUCAGUAGAACCCCCAGAACAGCAUGUGGGGCAGUGGAAAGAGAGGGGAGAUUGGUCUGCUGGGCAAGCAGAAAUACUUGUGCUAAUGCAAGAAUCAGAAGAGUGCAAUGUUGAAUUCCGCCCACAGUGUUUAUUUUUGUCACCAGCUAGUUCCUUAUUUCAAUGGAGCACUGAUUCCAGCUCAUCUCUGGUCAGCCACAUAGGCCAAGUUACAGGCACUGAAAUCCUACCACAUGCAGACAGUUGUGUAAAGAAAGUAACAUCAAAUCUGAUGGACCACACAGCUUUCUACUAGUGAUUUGUGUAAGAGUUGUCUUUCAAAAAUGUGCCUGAAAAAAAGCUUUUCAUGGUCGGCGGCAUCUAUAGAGGGAAGCCUGGUCAAUUUUUAAGAAGAGAAGAGUUUUGAAAUGAAUUAGGGCGGUGGCAGCGUAAAUAGUUUAAUGAAAUCAGAAUAAAACUGUCUGCUUAGAGCAACUUGUCAAAAGGCACAAAUAUAGGAGUGCAGAAAGCCAGUCCUGCCAGGUAGCUUGCUACAGAUGACAUCACAAGAAGGAAGGGAAUAGGUGAAGGCAGAGGCUGGCGUCUGAAUGGUAUGAGGGCUCAUUGCUGGGUUCUGUGUUGUGUAUCAAAGGACCUUGGAGAAGCACUAUGUUGAGCAACGUGGGCAAAUAAGAGGAGAUGUGGAGAUCAUUCAAGGUGGAGAGUUAUCAGUGUAAGAUAUCUUUUAUUGAGCCACAUUAUCAAAGCACUCAACAUGCUGGACAUCAGAACUCAUUGGACGGCAGCUAAAUCAAACAUUUGCACGAUAAAACAAACUGGGACGUUAUUGAUAAACAGAUGCCAACUCAGUCCAAAGAGGUGUGCUCUGGUGGAUGAUCACUCCUCAAGAUGGGAGUCUCCCUAAGCUCACCCAGUGUCCAGCAAGAUAAAUUCAAACAAGAAUUUCCCCGAUAAAUAAGAACUGACUAUGACUAAAAGCAUUCUUCCACAUUUGUCCUUAAUGAUGACAUAGAUUCAGUAGUCUAUUUAGAACAAUGUCGUAUAUUUUCCACCUUCAAAGGAAGCUCUAUUAUUAAUUGAAGAACUUAGGGUAAUAAAAGCACAGAGAUACAAAACAUAGCUGGAUAUAAUUCAUGUGGAAAAAAAGAGAUGCAGAGACAAAUUCCCCAAGAGUUAAAACACUUUCUGUUGUAGGGGUCAUUGUACAUACCGGUAUUAUGCUUUAGUUGCUUUACAUUGCCUGUUUUAGACAAAAAAAAGAUGGGAUGCAAAAUUAUACAAAACAAAAUACUCAGGAGCACAAACAAACUUACACUGAGGACCUGUCACAACCGUUGCACUUGGAACAAAGGGAGCAAACCCAAUGGAAUUAAUUGUCCUAAAUUAGUCUUGCGCAUUACUUUUAAUGGGUCUGCUCUGAGUAGGACUAAUGUUGCAUACAAUCCACAGGAAGCUAUCUUCCGCCAAAUCAAUCUGGUAUAAGUUUAGUACUGUCUACUCUAGCUUAGAGUGGCUCUCCUGGGUCAGACAUCAGAUACACACCAUAAAUUUAAAGUACACCCAAAGCACAUUUAAAGGAGAUUAUUUGCCCCAAAGAAUCCUAGAAACUGUAGUCUACCCCACACAGAGCUACAAUUCCCCUGCAUUCUUAACGAACUACAGUUCCCAAUAUUAUUUAAGGGGAAGCCAUGUACUUUAAAUGUAUGUUGGAUGUGCUUUAAAAGCAUGGUGUGGAUCUCCCCUCCGGCUAAGGUCUUCCUCAUCACUUUCUUCUUUUUUUUUUAAUGAUAUUUAUUGGGGAAAUUUUUUUUUUUUAAUUACACCAAAAAAAGACAAGACAGAAAAAUAAAAAUAAAAAAUAAAACCAUCAUUCUCAAGUUCUCCACUUUCAAUACCUUCUUUCUUUGACCUCCUCCUCCUCCCUUUUCUUGUAUCCUGAUUAAUAAUAAUCGCAGCAAAUCCUUUCCAUAUUUCAUAGUAUUCUGUCAUUACAUUACCUUAAUCUAUUUUCAUCUUAUCUUAUAGAAAACCUUAAAGUUUAAAACUUAAAUCUUAUUUUUACCAACUUCUCCUAGCCAUAACAUUCUUACCAAAUUCUUUAAACAUUUUUACAAGAGCCAAGUAAUUUCAUUUCAACAUUUUGCUAGCAUUCAUCAAUUUUAUAGAACAAUCCUAAUGAUAAAAAAAAAGAAAUAAACAAUCCAAUCUUCAUCCAGCGUCCAUUCCUCCUGGUCCCGGGUUUUGUCAGUCCUUUUUAUCUUAUUAAUCUAGCACAUUAACCUGGUAAUCUUAUAUCCGAAGCCCUCAAGUCUCUUCCAUGUCCCUUCCGCAGCUCUUCUUCAUAUUUUCCUUUCAUUCAUGGGAACUCCAGCUUGGUAAUGUUUUUGACCCUUUUCAACAAAUCAGCCCCUUUUCCAUAGUCCAGACUAGACUCCAUGUGGUAUUUAAAAACAUGUUUCAGAUUCCCUCCAAAAUUAAGAGCCCCCACAGCUCCAAACAUCUGGCGGCCCAUUGCCAGACUCGAAAAGUCCAAAUCUCCCUGUAUAGGGGGGUCUGUCCAACCCCCCAUUUCCAAACCAAACCAAACUUUGUCUUUCCAAGUCUGGUUUUUUCCAAGUUCAUUUAUCAAAUCCAAAAAUUUAUGUUCCUGCUAGGCCGCAGCUCCCUCCGUCUCUGGCGCCCAAGAUUCAGCAGCAUCCUCUUCUCUCAACUGUUCUGUCAUGGCACACCUGUUUUAGCUCCUGGGUGGGCUCCAUAUAAUUUCCCACUACCUGUUCAAAGGUUCUGGCCGCAUUAGUCAUCAAAUCCGUCUUCUGGCUUAACUGAUCCAAUAGGGCAUUUAUUUUGCAGAGAGCACCCAACAGUGCUUCUGAAGACAUUGUCCUGCAAGGUCACAAAUCCUUUCCCACGGUUGUAAUCUGUGGCAGCUGCAAGCUCCCAGGAAUUAGUUACAAUUUCACAGUCCCCUCUAGGGGAAAUCUUCUGGUUGUUCUUUCUUUUAAAAACAAUAGCAACAAAGUUUCUUAUUAAGGUAUUUUGUCCAUAUUUGUUCUUUUUAAAAUGCGAAAGGAAACAAUGGAAUCACUAUGUUUCUCUUCUUUUAACUAUCUGUCAAAGACAUUUGUUUCUGGUCAAUGAGCUUCAAACGUCAAUUCUGACACCCCGCUCCAGGAUCAGGACGGUGGAAAAUUACUUUGCUUUAAACUCACUUCUGCAGGUUUAAACAGCCCAAAAAAGAUCCCCCUUCUUCUCCUGCUGCCGAAGGGGGGUUCAGCGAUUUUAAAUGAUGAAAGCCAAUCCUUUGAAAGUGAUUUUUAAAGCUCUAGUUUACGUUGUCUUUGCUUUAUUCUGGCUACAAGGAAACGGAAGGCUGACUUCCUGUUUAGACCUUCCCGUUUCAGUACCAAAUUAAGGUAAAUUUUUAAGUCUAAAUUCCUUUCUAUUUCGCCAGUUCUUAUUUAAAGUCCAAAUGUUCAAUGUUCCAGUACUCACGGGUGGUUAUUUUAGAUGCCAAAUUGUCCCAGGAAAAAGGCAGCACUCUCCAGCAACGGCUAUGCGGCUUCGCUCCGCAGAAAAAGCAAUUGACUCACAGCACCGCGCCACUUCCCCCUCUUCGCUUCGGAGCCCGUUAGUGGGUUCCUUUGCGGGUUGGGGGGGCGCUAAGGGUGCCCGCCGAGUCCCACGGUCACAGGCUUCAUCCGCCUGUGAUUUCCAGAAGGGUCCCCGCUUCGCCGUAGCGGAAAAGACCCGUUUCAUGCGGAGCUGGUCCCUCCAGUUCAGAGGGAGUCCGCCAUUGCCGAUGGCGCCACCCCGGAAGUCCUCCUUCCUCAUCACUUUCCACCCAAUCCUUCUAAUGGAGAUACCAGGGAAUGAACCUGGGAUUUUCUGCAGGCAAGGCAUCUUCUCUACCUCCCAUAUACCUGUAAAAGUCUCUGCAUUUACAUAUUAAGCACAGGGAUAAACUACUCUCUGUUUUAUACUAGUUUUAACUGCCAAUAAUAAUAAUAAUAAUAAUAAUAAUUUAUUAUUUAUACCCCGCCCAUCUGACUGGGUUUCCCCAGCCACUCUGGGCGGCUUCCAACCGAAUAUUAAAAACAAUACAGCAUCAGACAUUAAAAACUUCCCUAAACAGGGCAGCCUUCAGUUGUCUUUUAAAAGUAAAAUAGUUGUUUAUUGCCUUGACAUCUGCUGGGAGGGCAUUCCACAGGGCAGGCGCCACUACUGAGAAGUCUCUCUGCCUGGUUCCCUGUAACCUCACUUCUCACCAUGAGGGAACCACCAGAAGGCCCUCGGAACUGGACCUCAGUGUCCUGGCUGAACGAUGGGGGUGGAGGCGCUCCUUCAGGUAUACUGGACCGAGGGCGUUUAGGGCUUUAAAGGUCAGCACCAACACUUUGAAUUGUGCUCAGAAAUGUACUGGGAGCCAAUGGUUUUCUUAAAAGGAUCCCAAGGACUGUAGUUUGUUUUGCCAAGAAUGGCGUGUUAGAGAUCCCUAACAACAUCCCACCACUUCUAAACUUCAGUUCACAGGAUUUCCAAAGAAGAAGAAAAUGACCAGAUUAAGUGUUUAGUGUAGAUUUGUCUCUUGUAUUUUUCACACGUUGUUCUUUAAAGAAGAAAUACAUUAAGCCACUUUGAACAUUCCAGCUUUAGUGGAGACACCAUGCAGCUCCUGUAGCUCUACGGUGUGCAUGCCCUAAAACUGUACAGUGGGAAUCAGCACUGUGUCUGCCUUCACCCCUACUGCUUACUGCUCUGCUUGCUAUAUGGUAAAUGGAAGCAAAUAAUGCAGAUAUUGACCAAUUAAUCCUUGCAAAUCACUUUCCAAAGAUAAAAGUAUCACAUAAAUGCUAAGCAUUAUGAACUAAGACAGGGCUAAUGCUGGGAUUGAAAAUGUCGAUUUUCAUCAUCUGUAUCCUAGGUAAUCCUGGGAUUUAUAACACAGAUGUGUGAGGUCUGGUUGUUGUUGUUUUUUAAAAAAGAGGAACAUAAUUGAGGGGAAAUAGAGAUGGAAUAAAGUAAGUUCCUUUCCACUGGUUCACAAGAAAAUGAGAGAGAGAGAGACUGAGCACACAAAGCCAUUGCAAUUUGUCUCACUUCCUAAAACCACUAGUUUUAUUAGUAGCUAUGGGAUGUCCUCUAGAUGUAAGGAAGAGCCUGAGUUAUGAAUGAUCUCUUGCUCUUAGCUCCAGUGAAGGGAGAAAUCAGCAGUAUCAGAGAAAGUAAGAUAACCAAAUAGAGGAAAGUUAGGAUGAAAUUGGACAACAUUUAAAUGCAUGUAACAGACCAAAGAACUUUUUAAAAAAAAUAAAAAAGAGAGAGAAACUGAGGUAGCAGGGCAGGAAUGGGGAAGUGAUGAGUGUUUGGCCCAUUUUCCACCCACUGCUCCUCUGCUCCAGAUCCGUUGUCGGGUUCCAAACACAUCUUGGCAAGCACACAUUUAGGAGAAUAAUAGGAAGAGAGAGGAGCAGGAAGAGGAGGAGGAGGAAGUGUGGCGAUUCCACCGCAAAAGCAGGCAGUUAGCCCAGGAGGCUGGAGAAAAUGCUAGUUCGAAAGGCGUUUAUACACAUCUUGCUGUUAAUCGUUCAUUUGGCCCACACGUUUUGUCCAACACUUUUCAAUGUGUUUCCCUGUCACUUUCCUAACUGCAAAACGUCCAGUGGGGUCUUUGUUGUUGUUGUUUCAAGUGGUUUGGUGGUGCUGGGGUGACAGCUUGCUUUAAAUCACUUUAAUUUCACAAAACUAGAAUUACAGUACACGCCUGAAUCCCCCUGCAAAUUAGUAACACUCUGGAGGCACUCUGUCUUUUUGGGUAACAGGGGUCACAAACAUACUUGACCUAUACAUACUGAGCUAUACCAUUCAGAUUGCAGGCAGGAGGAGCUCACCAGGUUGAAUGUUCCUCCAUACUAAGACCAUAAAUAAAGUUUAUGUAAGCUUCUCUGGACAUAUUUAUACUGAAGGACAAUGUACAUCUGCAUAAAAUAUAUGUAUGUCGGGGUGAAGCCAGGUAAAAACACAAUCUAAAAAGCUAAAAGAUUCACACAGAUAAAAAAGAACUUCACCUGGCACUGGGUGGUGGGGGAGAGAAAGAAUCCAUGCCAGAUGAUCACCCCUGAAGAAAGUAUUCCAAAGUUGGGGAGCCAUAACUGAGAAAGCACAAAACCAUGAAAAAGAGGAGAAGGUUGGAAUAAAUAAAAAGAGAAAAAAAUUCUUAAAUGUUUCAUUUGGCAAAGGAGGAAGCCAAUAAGGAGAAUUGCCUCAUGAGUUCCCAGAGCCCUGGGUCUGAGGUUUUUCAUCACUGGUGUAUAGGACUGCAGCUUUAGUUAUUUCAGUGCUUUUUGUAUAAUAAAUACAGUUAUUAUUAAAUCUAUGCUUUCAGACAUUAAUCUGCAUCAAAAUUUGCAUUUGAAGAGUGUUUUCUGGAGGCAUAUCUCGAAUUAAUCCCCAUUGUCCUACAGGACUCAAAUUAUGCCAAAGCUAUGCUCAAUAAAUACAUAAAUACAUUCUGGCAUCCAUGACUUACCUGGUGAGAUUCUGAAGGAGCUGCUGUUGGAACUGUUAAUGGAUGGAAAUUCAGAUAUAGGAACUUAUUUCAGAAUAAAAGUGGUUUUAGAUACAAACUGAGGCUGAUUUACAUGAGAUUAUUCAGCAUUGUUGAAAGAAUGCUAACAAAUUUACCCCCACACAGCAAUUCAAAUGCAUGCAGUGCUUUCCAUAACUCAAAAAACUGUCUCGGGUACAAAGAUAGAGGUAAAAACAGACAUGAUAUACGGUAUAAAGUGAUCGCAACAGUAAGGCUCUGUACAAAACAAACAUUUAAAGCACAUUCCACCUCCACCCUCCAAAUAAUCCUGGGAAUUAUAGUUCACUCCUAUCAGAUCUACAAUUCCCAGCACCCUUAACAAACUACAUUUCCCAGGACACUUUGUGGGAGAAUGUGCUUUAAAUAUGUGUUGUAUGUGCAGUUUAAGAGCCUUGCAUUGCAACUUGCAUUACAAAUGUAAUAUGGAUCUGUUCCUAGUCUUACAUCUUCCCUUGUUGGUUAUAUGGGAUGUCUCUCUCUCUCUCUCUCUUUUUUUAACAAUGCAGCAUAUGUGGGUUUAUAUGUUCAUUCUUCACCUUACCUCUUCCCCCCCCAAAAAAAAACCUAUAAUGCAAAUCAGAUUAUAUGAGAAGUGGGUUGGAGAUGUGGCAGACAGUAGCCAGUAGGAACUACACAGCUGCACCACGCUGAAACCCUGCAGAACCAUUUUUGUUUGUUUACAAGAGCUUGUCCCAAAGCAAGGGGGAAUGUACAUUUUCUUAGGAAACACCAUCAUUGUGUCUGUGUUCCCUCAGAAGUUUAUUUGUCAUGCCAAACCAGCUAGAACUAGAUCUGAGUGCUGAUGAAGUCAGUCCAUUACAUUUCCUGUUCCCCAUCCCACUUAUAGCCCAGCUUCGUAACAUCAUUAUGGAUUUAUUUUUCAGACAGCCUGAAUACAAUCUCCUGUUUGCAAGGAGAAUGACAAAGGCUACAGAUCUCCCCCAAGGCUAAGAUCCACAUUUUUCAGUGACUCCUUGACAACAGAAAUAAUUGCUUUUCAUUUUAGUAGCAUAUGGUGGGAUGGAGGCACAGCUGGUUCACUUGCCAUUUCCAAGUUUUGGGGAAAGGAGGAGGUGGAGAAGUAAUAUUCCAUUCCUAUUAUUUGUCAUGAUCCCAGCCUCCAGCAGGGAUCUGAACCCAGACUCUAAGCUUGAGAGACUGUGCAUGACUAUGGUCUUGUAAGUUCACCUGCAGGGAGGCCUUGCACUACUAACAAUAGUACCCAGUGCUUUUUUGGUGAGGGAGUUUAAAAAAUGAGGUUCCAUUACCCAAAUACUGAUAAAAGUCCUGUGGGUGCCAGCACAAAAUGGCUGCCAAAGGCAGCAAAAAGAAGUGCCGGUACCAGUGAAUACUGUCACAAAAUAAGCAAUGCGAGUAUUCAGAAAAUACCAGUCAGUACUGAUUAAAGACCUAGUAACAGAGACCUUCUUUGUAGUUGCCUGAAUCCCUUGAGGAACAGUACACCAUAUAUCCAAAGCUUCAUUAUCUCCCUGCUUUCUUACCACAAAUGCCAAUGGAUCUAUCAAGAUUCUACAGGACAGUAACAAGUGGGGGCCCCUCAGACUGCCACUGCUUUCAGGUGGGAUUCAAUCACACCCUACCAAAGUCAGUUAAAGCUGGUAUGGAGCUCUUGGAAGGGGCAGUGUGUCUCAUGUAGCCACCAAUCAGCUGUGCAGCAGAUGCAUGAAUAAGGAAAGCCAAGCAUGAAUGACCGCCUCUCAUCAUCUGUGUGAUGAGCUAUUUGCUUAAAACAACAAUAACAUUCAUCAAUUUUGGGAGCAGCUAGAAAGCGAAGUUCUUGCCACGCUUUCUGAAAAGUUUUGACCACCUUGGACCACCUUGUAUUUUGUUUUUGAAUUACAUUUUUAAAGGGUGCAGAAUUUUGCCUUAAAAAUCUGCACUGUUAUUCAAAGUAAUGGAGUUACCAGUUUACUUGUAUGGAAAGGAAACAAACUGGACUAAGACAAUUCCAUUAAUCUUCUAAAGAGGGAGCAUAUUAAAAGAGAUUGGAAAAUUCUAGUUCUGGAGACCUUGACAACACCAUCCUAAAACCAUCCAAGAGCCUUGCAAGGGAUGCUUGCCUAUUCACCCUUCCUUGCAAAGUGAGACAAGAGAGUUUUUAAAAAAGAAAAAGUCAAGGGAGUCGUUAUUCCUCAUCCACCUUCCCUUCUGGUCUUGCUUUUAAUAGUAGCCUGACACAAAUAAAUUAAGCAUGUUAAGGUUUUCCUGACAUGGGGAUAAAGGGAUGAGAAAAAUUUCACCUGCUGAGUUUUUCAGACCAGGCAGGAAGAGGAUUAAAAACAAAAAUAGCCACACACUUGAUGUCACUGGGAUCAGUUGUGACCGAGAGGCAGAGGGGAUAAAUGGGCUGAAAUGUGAUCCUGCCUGGUCCCUAGAAGUAUUGGACAUGUCUUUUAUGGCCUCUUUUCUCAUCGGCUACUGGAUUCUUCUACUGAAGUUACCAGCAUACAUUCAUGUAUGGCUUAUUUCACUGAAGGCAAUGCUAUGCUUGACUUUAAAAAAAAAAAGUUGGAGAGUUCAUUUUAAAGUUUCUACUAACCAUUUUUGUAAAGGAUUCCUUUUCUAUACUUCUACAGAUUUUUUUGUUUGUGUGUGUGUGUGUGAGAGAGAGAGAGAGAGAGAGAGAGAGAAACAUACCCUAUGUUUUGACAAUAAAUGUGAGUCUGUUUGUGCACAGGAUUCAUGUGUGUUCAAACAUACAUUUAUAUACAAGGGACAUCAGAAUGUACAUGCAUUUGAUUUAUUUCAUAAAACUUAUAUAGCACUUGGUUGUGGGGGGGAACCCUCAAAGUAGUUUAGGUAUGCAAGUAUGCAUGUAUAUGUGUAUAUGGUCAGUAGGAAAGUAAAAGAAUUAUCAUCUCCCUUCUUCCAAAGGGCUGCCUCCAAAAUCUUCCUGAAUCCAAGACCCAGUCAGAUUCUCACUGACCUCACCAUGAUUCCUGCUCAGCAGAGGACAUUUCCUUACCCGGAUUUUCUGAAGAAGUUGUGUUCAUCAGGCCUCUGAAUAUUGCCUUGAUUUCUAGUUCCUUUCUUGGAGACCAGGGGGUGGACUUUGCACUGUCUGCAGCACAUCUUGAAGAGGUUGCAAAGCCUUUUCAACCUAGGACAGAAUGGAAAGAAAGUGAGAAACUGGCUUGUAGUGUCUGCACUGAACUUUGGGGGCCUUGACACCUCCAGGAUAUGCUGUCAUGAGUAUCUUGUGGACAGAAAUAGGACCCAACAGGAAGAUUUUGCAAAAGAGCCUCCAAAACACUGAGGAUCACCUUUCUGAAAUUACACCCACAAAGGAAACAGGCAAUCCACUUUAUCUGAAACGUUUAAAAUGGUCCUAACUAAUGGUAUUAAUACUCUAGUAUUCACUUUUAUAGCUUCUGGUGGAUUGUGCUGCUUUAUUUUUUGUUUCUGAAAAAAUUCUAGAC